CAAGACGUAGCUAAAAACAAAGCACUCAGCUUACACCUGAAAGAUACCCGCCACUCACGGGUCGUCUUGA
RNAcentral lists this transfer RNA (70 nucleotides) under Thinocorus orbignyianus. Its description in RNAcentral is "tRNA-Val". The record is from RNAcentral. Lineage: Eukaryota; Metazoa; Chordata; Aves; Ciconiiformes; Thinocoridae.